GCCCUGAUGGCCAAGCUGGUAAGGCGCAGCACUUGUAUGAGAUGCUGAGAUCCCUGGUUCAAAUCCGGGUCAGGGCA
Molecule: transfer RNA, 77 nt
Filed under: Morchella angusticeps
Lineage: Eukaryota; Fungi; Ascomycota; Pezizomycetes; Pezizales; Morchellaceae
Also listed under: 7 other names
Description: tRNA-Thr
Rfam family: tRNA
About the family: Transfer RNA (tRNA) molecules are approximately 80 nucleotides in length.
Source: RNAcentral